Molecule: non-coding RNA, 28 nt
Filed under: Homo sapiens (human)
Lineage: Eukaryota; Metazoa; Chordata; Mammalia; Primates; Hominidae
Source: RNAcentral
GAGUUUCAGCAUCCUUCUAUUGUGGACU